Molecule: ribosomal RNA, 550 nt
Filed under: uncultured stramenopile
Lineage: Eukaryota
Description: bacterial SSU rRNA
Rfam family: Eukaryotic small subunit ribosomal RNA
Source: RNAcentral
UAGCGUAUAUUAAAGUUGUUGCAGUUAAAAAGUUCGUAGUUGGAUUUCUGGUAGGAGCGACCGGUCCGCCCUGUUAAGGGUGUGUACUAGCGUUGUCUCUGGCCAUCCUUGGGGGAACUGCGCGGGGAGACUUGCGUUAGGGAACCCAUCGUUUACUGUGAAAAAAUUAGAGUGUUUAAAGCAGGCUUAUGCCGUUGAAUACAUUAGCAUGGAAUAAUAAGAUAGGACCGCGUGGUCGUCUUGUUGGUUUGCACCGCGAGGUAAUGAUUAAUAGGUACAGUUGGGGGUAUUCGUAUUUAAUUGUCAGAGGUGAAAUUCUUGGAUUUAUGAAAGACGAACUUCUGCGAAAGCAUUUACCAAGGAUGUUUUCAUUAAUCAAGAACGAAAGUUAGGGGAUCGAAGAUGAUUAGAUACCAUCGUAGUCUUAACCAUAAACUAUGCCGACUAGGGAUUGGCGGUCGUUUCUUUUGACCCCCGUCAGCACCUUAUGAGAAAUCAAAGUCUUCGGGUUCCGGGGGGAGUAUGGUCGCAAGGCUGAAACUUAAAGGAA